RNAcentral lists this transfer RNA (72 nucleotides) under Candidatus Shapirobacteria bacterium CG2_30_35_20. RNAcentral describes it as "tRNA-Glu". It matches the Rfam family "tRNA". Rfam says of the family: Transfer RNA (tRNA) molecules are approximately 80 nucleotides in length. The record is from RNAcentral. RNAcentral also lists the same sequence under 5 other names. Lineage: Bacteria; Candidatus Shapironibacteriota.
GGCUCUAUCGUCUAAUGGCUAGGACGGCAGAUUCUCAUUCUGUCAAUCGGGGUUCGAUUCCCCGUAGAGUCA